This 534-nucleotide long non-coding RNA is filed under the name Dromaius novaehollandiae (emu). RNAcentral describes it as "lncRNA (ENSDNVG00000004272.1)". Lineage: Eukaryota; Metazoa; Chordata; Aves; Casuariiformes; Dromaiidae. The record is from RNAcentral.
AUGCUGGAAGGCCUACGCCAUGGUCUCCCGCAUGAAGAAUCUGAACAUAUGUACUCUAUACAUCAGCAGAGGAAAGRAGCUAACACCUGCUUGCAUUUGAAUCAAGUGAUAAAAUCCCAGUURGGUUGUACAGAUUGGUAUGACUACACUUUGUCUGCUCUAGCUCAGGGGAAAGCUUUCAGUGAGAGCGUUCAGAAACUGGUGACGAAAAUCUCUCCCGUGAGGGGAAGCAAUUUGAGUUUCUCAGCCUACAAUAAAGACGGGCAGAGGAGCUGUAUGCUCAGCAAGAGAGGGUAUAUCACAAACCUGGGUUUCGUCUGUGGCACGCACUUGAAAUGGAAUAUAUUUCAAGAACAAGAGAUUCACAAAAUAUUUGCAUGUCACAGAAAUUUUGAAUUAGGAACCAGUCACAGAUCAGUAGUGGCAACAUGGGAGAUGAGAAAAAAAAAUAUCAGACACCAGUGGUUGCUGUCUCUGAAUCCAACUUCCCCUGAAAUCUCUGUAGCUGAGUAAGAGCCUGCUAGAGGGUAGAGA